RNAcentral lists this ribosomal RNA (405 nucleotides) under uncultured bacterium. RNAcentral's name for it is "partial 16S ribosomal RNA". It matches the Rfam family "Bacterial small subunit ribosomal RNA", at positions 28 to 526 of the family's 1533-position model. The record is from RNAcentral.
GAUGAACGCUGGCGGCGUGCCUAAUACAUGCAAGUCGAGCGAAGCGGGGGCGGGUGAGUAACACGUGUAUAACACCCCAUAUGACUGGGAUAACUUCGGGAAACCGGAGCUAAACCGGAUACUUAUAGAUGGAUCCGCGCUGCAUUAGCUAGUUGGUAAGCUAACGGCUUACCAAGGCAACGAUGCAUAGCCGAACUGAGAGGUGGAGCGGCCAAACUGGAACUGAGACACGGUCAAGACUCCUACGGGAGGCAGAAGUGGGGAAUCUUCCGCAAUGGGCGAAAGCCUGACGGAGCAACGCGGCGGGAGUGAUGAAGGCCUUGGGUGGGUAAACCCCUGUUAUUGGGGAGGCGGUACCUGAUCAGAAAGCCACGGCUAACUACGUGCCAGCAGCCGCGGUAAUAC